RNAcentral lists this small RNA (28 nucleotides) under Bombyx mori (domestic silkworm). RNAcentral describes it as "ovarian small RNA-10931". The record is from RNAcentral. Lineage: Eukaryota; Metazoa; Arthropoda; Insecta; Lepidoptera; Bombycidae.
ACAACUACAUUGUGUGACUGAUGGCCAG